ACCCCUCUCUCGCUUUGUCGGGGAGAUUUCGAUUGGGGUUAGGGUUCAAGAAUCCUGGGAUAGAGGGGGUUCUCGGAAACCCGGAUCUGUGGGAUUAGAUGACGAAGGCCGUCCGUGGCCAGAGGGGCCGGCUCAGCGUGUCGCGGUCGAAGACGAUGGGCGAGACGGUGAAUGGGUAGCACCGGUACACCGUCAUCGGGUUCUAGCUGACGAAGGGGAUGGGCCCGGGUAAGUACGUGUCCAGCGACACCUUCGCGUGGGAGGUUACCAGUGAGCGGUCUACUUCUACCCCGGCGGGAAGAGCCGCAAGGACAACUCCCGCUACGUGUCCGUGUUCAUCGCCCUGGCCAGCGAGGGGGCCAACGUGCGGUCGGUCUUCGAGAUCACCAUGAUCGAUCAGAGCGGCAAGGGCCGCCACAAGGUGCACAGUCAUUUCAAGCGGUCGUUGGAGGGUGGGCGGAGAAUGUGGGGUUACAAGCGAUUUUACAGAAGAACAGCCUUGGAAUCAUCAGAGUACCUCAAUGAUGAUUGUCUGAUAAUGCAUUGUACAGUGGGUGUUGUUAGAAACCGUACUGAAUCACCAAACCAGUUUUCUGUUAAUGUACCAUCAUCAGACUUGGGUCAGUGUCUAAAGGAGCUGUUGAAAUCUGGCAUUGGUUCUGGCAUAAUUUUUUAGGUUGGUGAUGAGACAUUUCAAGCACACAAGCAGAUUCUCGCUGCUCGUUCUCCAGUAUUUAAUGCCCAAUUUUUUGGCCUUAUUGGGAAUCCUAAUGUGGAUAGAGUAGUUGUAGAGGAUGUGGAACCUCCUGUUUUCAAGGUAAUACAUAGAAGCUUCCAAGUUUGCUCCCUGUAUCAUUUAUUCAGAAGCAUUUAAUAGCACAUUGUGUUUAAAGAGGAAUAUGACACUUGUGCUCUUAGAAGUUGUGGUACUUUCAAAUAAACAUCUGGAUCAUAAUAGUCUUUUUUUCUGAAUUGGAUAGUGGAAUGCCACAUUGAAUUGAUUCCUUCAUGUAACUACAUAUUUAGUUAAAAGGAAACGAAAAUGCAACCAUUACUACCACUUCAUCUGCAUACUUAAGAUUCUUUUAUAUGCUUCUCUUUUACAAAGAGAAAUAACCUCUCCUUUUUGGGAUGUGAUUCACAUUGCAGAAGAUUUUGAGAUUAUCUUGGUCUGUAAUCCCUUUGGCCUUUGCUCUUUUUGUUUUGGAAAGUACUUUUGUUUGCACUAAUUCGUUUUAUAUAAUUUAGUGACCAAUAUAAUUACUGUGCCUGUAUUGACUGUUCUUGGAGCAUAUGAUAAUUGUGACUCCUACUUCUUUCGGAAUCUUGUUUCAAUAUGUUUAAAAGUUCAAUAAUUCUUGCUGAGUUCUGUCAAUUAGGCUUAGUUGCGCUCAAUGGCUAUAUUUAUAGUGCUUUAGCUUUCUGAGCAUGCGCAAGGUCAGCCUUUGGAUACAAAUUGUGUACUACGUUAAUGUUUUUUUUCAAUUUCAUAGCCUUCUACAUCCCAAGAAUUGAUUAACAUUUACAUGCUAUGGAUUGUUCUUGAUAUCUGAUUAUGGAUGACCUAGCUCAAUUUCCAUUGCCUAAAUUGAUAGCAUACUUCAAAUUGAAAAAGAAAUGCAUAGUUUUGGACAUUGUUGUCGAAAAAUCUUGUAACAGAGAAGUAGCAUGUUGUAACAAAUUAUUGUGAAAGAAUAAGGUAUGAACUUAUGUUCCUAACAAAUUCUUUCUUCUCAUUUACCAAAGAAAAAUAUACUAUUGAUAGGGGCAAUAUUCAUUGCACUAUGAGACUUGACAUAUGGAUGCCAGUCUAUAAAGAAAAACAAUAAAAUAGGUGGAUUGGAUCAGCCAUGUAGCAUGAACCAAAAUAAUAAGGUAUGUUCUUAAUCACAAGCGAUGAGGGAUCCCAUGCUUCUGACGUGAUGUAUGUUCUUUCCUUUCACGUCGGAUAUUUAUUCGUAUUGAGUAUUGAUUAACUUGUGCAUUGGAUGGUUCUCUGCGGGAAUGCUUCCAACAGCUCUUUUCUCUUGCAGGAGGAAGCAUAGAGGUUUGGUUCAAACUAGAGGUUUCAUUAUUGACCCUAUAUUCUCAAGUUCAUGCCACUGGAUGGUUCUUAAAGUGUGCUAAGUUUUGAAACUGGAGCUAGAUUGGGUUGUCUUUGAAAUUCAAAUUGACGAUUAACUUUUGGACUAACAUUUUUGGUGAUGGGACCCAAAAUGUUGCGGGAGAAAGUUGUCCUCCUGAAUAGUCCUUGGCCUUGUUGUCCUUGAGCACUAGCCUGCUGUAUUAUGACUAUCGGAUCAAAACUGCCUUUCCUUGCCUUGGUGGAUAUCUGGAUUGGCUCAAACUCCAUGCAGUCGAAACCCAAGGUGUGUUUAGGUACUUGUUGAGACUUUCUUUGGAUUAACUCAGUAGGUGCUGGCCCUCAUGGGAAAUGCUGCCGAUAGACAUUCCCUUUCUUUUGUAGAUAGUCCAUGAUGCCCCACCUUGCAUGGAUCUAAGGUGCAAUUGGCAGAUGCAAUAAACUGCAAGUUGCAUGUCCAACUUCUGCAAGUUCCUUACUCUGCUGCAGGCCAUGCUUAUUUUUAUAUACUCGGACAAGCUUCCUGAUGUUCAUGAGUUGACUAGUUCAUUUUCAAUGUACACAUUCACGACAGUGAUACAACAUUUAUUUCUUGCAGCUGAUAGAUAUGGUUUGGAAUGAGAUAAGAAUGACAAGCAUUUCUAAUUUUCCAAAGUUUGUACACCCAUC
This is an RNA transcript of Musa acuminata AAA Group (dessert banana), 2752 nucleotides long. It is a transcript of the gene named BTB/POZ and MATH domain-containing protein 3-like, with no coding region annotated. The record is from RefSeq and is a predicted model, not a curated record. Lineage: Eukaryota; Viridiplantae; Streptophyta; Magnoliopsida; Zingiberales; Musaceae. The transcript is spliced from 2 exons.